CAUGUCUUUUUGGUAUAUAAUAUAAAGUCUAAUCUGCUCAAUGAUAGUUUAAAUUGCCGCAGUAUUUUAACUGUGCAAAGGUAGCAUAAUAAUUAGCUUUUUAAUUAGAAGCUGGAAUGAAUGAUUGGACGAGAAUAUAACUGUCUCUAUUUAAAUAAUUGUUGAAUUUUAUUUUUAAGUUAAAAAGCUUAAAUUUUUAUAAAAGACGAGAAGACCCUAUAGAGUUUGAUAUUAGUUAAUUAUUAGUUUUUAGAAAUGUUUUUAAUUAAUUAAUAUUUAGUUGGGGUGACUUAAAGAUUAAAUUAAUUCUUUAAAAUUUAAAUUGAUGAUGUUUAAUUUUAUAAUCUAAAUUUUUUAAAUUUAAAAUAAAUUACCUUAGGGAUAACAGCGUAAUUUUUCUUUAAAGUUCCUAUUGAAAGGAAAGUUUGCGACCUCGAUGUUGGAUUAAAAUAAAUUUUUGGCGCAGUUGCUUAAAAAUUUGGUCUGUUCGACCUUUAAUAUUUUACAUGAUCUGAGUUUAAACCGGUGUAAGCCAGGUUGGAUUCUAUCUUUAGAAAUUUUAUAUAUUUUAGUACGAAAGGACCAAAUAUAUAUUAUAAUUAAUUG
RNAcentral lists this ribosomal RNA (606 nucleotides) under Calopteron sp. UPOL A00628. RNAcentral describes it as "partial 16S ribosomal RNA". It matches the Rfam family "Bacterial large subunit ribosomal RNA", at positions 1816 to 2715 of the family's 2925-position model. The record is from RNAcentral. Lineage: Eukaryota; Metazoa; Arthropoda; Insecta; Coleoptera; Lycidae.